This 253-nucleotide ribosomal RNA is filed under the name uncultured bacterium. RNAcentral's name for it is "partial 16S ribosomal RNA". It matches the Rfam family "Bacterial small subunit ribosomal RNA", at positions 524 to 776 of the family's 1533-position model. The record is from RNAcentral.
UACGUAGGGGGCAAGCGUUGUCCGGAUUUAUUGGGCGUAAAGAGCGUGUAGGCGGUUAGGUAGGUCCGUUGUGAAAACUCGAGGCUCAACCUCGAGACGCCGAUGGAAACCAUCUGACUAGAGUCCGGAAGAGGAGAGUGGAAUUCCUGGUGUAGCGGUGAAAUGCGUAGAUAUCAGGAUGAACACCCGUGGCUAAGGCGGCUCUCUAGUACGGUACUGACGCUGAGACGCGAAAGCGUGGGGAGCGAACAGG